RNAcentral lists this ribosomal RNA (496 nucleotides) under uncultured bacterium. Its description in RNAcentral is "partial 16S ribosomal RNA". It matches the Rfam family "Bacterial small subunit ribosomal RNA", at positions 28 to 507 of the family's 1533-position model. The record is from RNAcentral.
GAUGAACGCUGGCGGCGUGCCUAAUACAUGCAAGUCGAGCGAACAGACGAGGAGCUUGCCCUCUGACGUUAGCGGCGGACGGGUGAGUAACACGUGGAUAACCUACCUAUAAGACUGGGAUAACUUCGGGAAACCGGAGCUAAUACCGGAUAAUAUAUUGAACCGCAUGGUUCAAUAGUGAAAGACGGUUUUGCUGUCACUUAUAGAUGGAUCCGCGCCGCAUUAGCUAGUUGGUAAGGUAACGGCUUACCAAGGCAACGAUGCGUAGCCGACCUGAGAGGGUGAUCGGCCACACUGGAACUGAGACACGGUCCAGACUCCUACGGGAGGCAGCAGUAGGGAAUCUUCCGCAAUGGGCGAAAGCCUGACGGAGCAACGCCGCGUGAGUGAAGAAGGUCUUCGGAUCGUAAAACUCUGUUAUUAGGGAAGAACAAAUGUGUAAGUAACUAUGCACGUCUUGACGGUACCUAAUCAGAAAGCCACGGCUAACUACGUG